RNAcentral lists this ribosomal RNA (407 nucleotides) under uncultured bacterium. RNAcentral describes it as "bacterial SSU rRNA". It matches the Rfam family "Bacterial small subunit ribosomal RNA", at positions 355 to 776 of the family's 1533-position model. The record is from RNAcentral.
UGGGGAAUAUUGGGCAAUGGAGGCAACUCUGACCCAGCAACGCCGCGUGAGCGAUGAAGGUCUUCGGAUUGUAAAGCUCUUUAAGCGGGGACGAAGAAAGUGACUGUACCCGCAGAAUAAGCCUCGGCUAACUACGUGCCAGCAGCCGCGGUAAUACGUAGGAGGCAAGCGUUAUCCGGAAUGACUGGGCGUAAAGGGUGCGUAGGUGGUUUGGCAAGUUGGUAGCGUAAUCCCGGGGCUCAACCUCGGUGCUACUACCAAAACUGUCGAACUUGAGUGCAGGAGGGGUGAAUGGAAUUCCCAGUGUAGCGGUGGAAUGCGUAGAUAUUGGGAAGAACACCAGCGGCGAAGGCGAUUCACUGGACUGUAACUGACACUGAGGCACGAAAGCGUGGGGAGCAAACAGG